Molecule: long non-coding RNA, 2411 nt
Organism: Lutra lutra (Eurasian river otter)
Lineage: Eukaryota; Metazoa; Chordata; Mammalia; Carnivora; Mustelidae
Exons: 2
Source: RefSeq, a predicted model, not a curated record
CCGCCGCGCUCCUGGGCCGCCCGGCGCCUCCGUCUUAUAUAGGACCGCGGCGCUAUAUAAAGCUUCGCAGUCAUGCUCCGGCCGGGAGGGGCUGAAACGGAGCGCGCCGCUUACUCUGAAAGUCCAAGGAAAAGCGGGAGCCUGAGGGCCUGUUAGAACAGGUGCAGGGCUAUUGCCGGGUGCCCUCCUGCCGGCAGGCUUUGUGGCUGGAGGACCUCAAGGGGCUGGUGCGCGGUCGGACAGCAGCCUCUAAGCACCUGCAGAGAGCAGAAGAGAAGCGGGGAGGGGAGACAGAGAUUUGGGAUGUCCCAGGCUGCUAAGCCGGAGCUGAGCACCCCGCUAACCCGGUGGCCCUGCCAGGUCUUGGACUCUACUGCGCAGCCUCCCGGCCAACCCUGGGCCCUGGAAUGUGCCCAUCAGCUGCCUCUGCGAAAGGGGAAAGGUAUGGGUGACUCACUCCCCUCCCGGGAGCACAUGACGGCCCUGCUCUCCGUGCGCAGGACACGGCUUGGCAGAUGGGUCGUAGGGUCACCCACCCCUGCCGCUGGGGCCAGGAGCACAGCCUCUCCCAGCGCGCAGCUCUGACUCCCGAUGGCCUCGCUCUGUGGUGGCUUCCUCCACUGGAGGCCAUGCAUCCCCGAGGGAGCAGCUCACAUUUUGCGGGCAGGGCUACCACCCUCCUAGGACCAAGGCACGACACGCAUAAACUCUGGAGUGGAAGAGCUAGAAGCUGGCGCCCGUGCAGGCCACCCGAGGACCAGGACCGCCAAGGGGAGGAGUGGCUGAGGGCCUGACUGGUACCGCCUAGGGUGCUAACGCUGGGUCCUCCCAGCACGCUGGCUGGGUACUGCUCUCCUCCCCUGGGCUGGGGUCUGUGCCGGCCUGGAGGCCGGGCUGCCAGCGGCAGGGAGGACACGGGCAGGCACACGGAGUGAGCAGAGAACACCGAGAGGAGCCGACGGCAGCCCACCUUAUGGACGCGUCUGCACCACCGGCGCAGCCCCCACCGGCACACGGGCAUCGGAGCUGGGAGCCAGGGACUGAACAACGCCUGUGUGCUGCUGGGCUUCUCCGGAACUACGAUCCAUGCUGUCCUUGACCCAAGGUGGACCAAAUGUUCGUGUGCGUUCCCUCCCAGAACAUCGGCAGGCAGCCCUUCCGUCCCACCUGCUGCUGUAGACAUGCUCAGAGACCAACAGAUGCAAAGCCCCGGGUGGGGACGCCUGGGCGACCAUCAGAGUCCUGCCAGCUGUUGUGGAACCCCUCUCCUGCUCUCAAGAGGGACCCACAGGCGCCCGCACACUUCCUGGGGUCCCAAGGAGUCACCAUCGGGCUCCCACACACUGUUGGCCCCACACCGCAGCUGGGCCCGCCAUCCAGGAAAACCAGUUCUCUCAGCAUGAACUCCAAGCGAGCUGAGGUUCUACUGGUCAAAUCACAUUUUAAAACCUGGGUGAUUUGCUGUUUGCUGUUUGAACACGUGACCCUGACCAGUGUGGCUCAGUGGUGAGCAGAGCAAUGCCACCGGGUCACCCGUGCCCAAGCGCAUGCCGCUGGUUCCUCGUCAGACCCCCAGCGGCAGGAAGCCUUGGCGCUGGCCCAAGGCAGCAGGAUGCCCCAGGACAGCACCAGACCCCCACCCCCAUCCAACUGCAGCACCUGUGGCCGUGCGUGCUUGGCGAAUGACCACCUGGGACACGCCUGUGGCUUCCGUGGACGCCCCACGCUCCGAGAAAGCUGCCCCAAUGGGGAGAGGCCUAACCCCGGCCCACUCCCCGCCGCAUGGAGAGCUUGUGAAGCAGAGACGAGAGGUAGUAAAAUUUCAACUUUAUUUGGCCAAUGUAUUCAAUUCCAAUAUCGUUAGAAACGGCUGAAGAACAGCCCGCAAGUGGUUCGGCUCAAGCACCCUUGGCCGUUGCGCAGCCUGGAAAUGGAGGGUUCUGGUUGUGCCUGCCGCAGGCCUCAGGCGGUGCUGGAAGUCACAGAGCACCGGGGAGCCUAGCUCGGGGAGGAAGGGGGGCUGCCCGGGUCUGCCCUGGGCUCAGCCAGCAUCCACCACCCCCUCCAGUCGUACAAGGCCCCAGUGACGGAGACCUAGAGUCUCCACCUAAGCCAACACCACGAGACCCACGCUCCGUCACGCGGUACCAGCAGGAGGGGAGAGGGACCCGGCCGGCCCGGCCCGGCCCCUCCCACACAGGGGACAGGAGUCUCCAGGUAGGCCCGGCCACAGUGGGACACCCUGAUGUCCAAAAAUGUCUCAAAAUCCCACAAAUGGAAUUUCUUAAAGUGAUAGUAUAAACCCUAACAGGAAGGAGACUUCACCUGCAUGAGAUUCAGAGACAUUUUAACAAGCACUUUGGACAGAACAUGUACAAAAAAGUACAUCACAAUUAAAAAAAAAAACAACA